AUAAAUUCCCAUCUUGGAUAUGUCUUUAUCAGCAACAUGAGAACAGAUGAAUAAAAAUUCUCAGACUGGGAGAAAAAUAUGCUAAAGUGCUUCAUUCCCAGAAUAAUAUUCUUGUUAUUUUGUCAUAUGGGCAGCCUACCUGCUUACCUCCUGUCCACACAUCCUAAUAUGAUGCCAACCAGUUAGUAUGUCCUCACUUACUUGCUGACAUGGAUUCUUUGCUUGGCCAAAUUUUAGUCACGUCUUCUGAACAUUCUUCUAGGCCCAUCUGUGCACUUCCUUGUAAAAUACUGUUUUAACUAAGUCAGUUUAGCAACAAUCCCCAAUCUCAGUGUCUGAUCACCCUUGGUAGCUGAUCAUAUUACUUAUCCUCCCUUAUCCCCCAGGUGAUUUCUGAUCUUUCUGGUCUGUUUUUAGCAAGAUCCUGUUAGGUUGGUUUAGCCAGAAUUCCCCUUACCCCUGAUGUUUCUGCUUAGUAAUUUUCCAUCCUCUGACUACCUCAUCUGCUUCUUGGCUACAGAUUCUCACUUGCCCCUGCUGUAUUCGGAGUUGAGUUCAAUCUCCCUAGCCUAUUGUUAAGACUUAGUUGUAGUCAUUCCUGUAGCUACUGCAAUGAUCCUAAAUGAAGUCUUUUUUACUGUGCUUUAACAAGUAUCAUUGAAUAUUUUUUUUCUUUAACAUUACACAAAAAGGAAAACAGCCUGUUCAUUUCAUGGAAGGACGUUUUGGAAAAAUAGAUCCAGACCUACAUAGAAAGGUAUGACAGCUACCUUAAUUCAUCCAUCAAGACCUUUCUUCUUAAUUGUGAAUUACCAACUAUAGAUCAUCAGAGAAUUUAAGAAAAUCGACAAACUAAAUGCAAAGAAACAAGCUAAUGAAAUAGAACAAAUGACUAAAGGAAACAGAAGUAAUUCAAUGAACAUAAGAAAACUUAAAAAAUAUUCUAAUUACAUUCUCAGAAAGAUUUGAGUGCACACUACAUACAUUAGAAGAGAAAAAUAAAGGAAAAUCAGACUGCUAUGAAAACCAAGAUUCAUCAUUUCGCAUUUCUGUAACCAUGAAUGAGGGUGUUUGUUUUCUUAGAACUGUCCAUGUGGAACAUCCUGUCAGCCUCAGCUUUUUAACAAUCAGGAAGAAAGUCACACAACCACAUAUUUUCUGAACAUAAGCUGAACUUCUACUUCCAUGGAGUGAGUUACUUCACCUCAUUGGCAAAAGACAACAGAAGAGUCCAAAGUCUGAGGGGACUGGGCAAGCUUCUGUCACAUGCUUUCAGAAUGAAGACAAUCUGCAAGAAUUUUAAGUUGUGACCUCUACAGAGAAAAGAAUGAAAAGUAGCCAAAUCUCCACAUGAGAGAUUUUGGACUAUUUUGCAGUGUAAACCCCAUCUGAUUUAUAUGAAGAGACAGGUUGUAAAGAAUGGUUCUCAGUGCUGCUUUCAUCAUGAAAGACUGAAGAAUCACUAUUGGCUCAUUUUAUAGGAAAGAAAUACUUUCACAGAAGAGCAUGCCUAUAGUAACUUUGGAAAUAUUCCACAUCUUGGAAGAGCUGGCUUAGGAUAUAAAGAAACUUGAAAAUAAAAAAAAAUGGCCUAAUCAGAAAAUAUUUAGUUUUUGCCAUAAACUAUAUCAAACAUGUAGACAUAGUACACAUGGACUUGCUUCUUUUGGUUUUCAGUGCCUGUAACUUAUUAAUAAAAGUCAGUGGAGAACAUCUAUCCUAAAAUGUUUAAAUAUUUUUAGCUUGAUUUAAGAUGCAUUUGGUUUGAAAUAGGAUAUGUGGUAUGUAAUGGAAAACUGAAAGUGACAUGAACAGAAAUAUUGAUAAUUAAGACAUAUCAGUUACAACAUACUCAUUGAUCUCAUUGAUUUGAAAGUAAUUUGCUCAGCAUAAUGUGUAUUAUCUUAACAUUAAUUUAUGGCUUCUUGCUGAUUGAGUGAAAUUCAGCUUAAAAUAAAUCACCAGUGUCUACCCUGACAGCAAUAGUAGGCAAAAAAAAGAGGACCGAAAACUGAGCAAUUUUUCUUCCAUAUGUCUCUAGACUCUGUAUCACUGUCGAUUUAAAAAGUCAAAUAUUUGUGCUCUGUCUGGCUCAACUAAAGUUAAGUGUGGCAUUGUACUGUUUGCUACCCAAUAAUCUGUGAUUAAUUUUCAGAAUGACCCUUUCUAUUUUUCUUCAUAUGUGAUUUGCCAAGCCAAUAUUAAAACCACAUUUGCUUAAUCUUUCUCAUGUUUGAGUAUUCAAAUACUCAGGAGUUCACUGGGGGAAUCUGACAAAUGAUUUGAAGAAAAAUGGACAAGUGUUCCUGGGGCAGGUUUUAUGGGAAAUGGGUGGAGGAAAGUGGUUGGGUGGGGAUUUAGUUGCAAUUUGUCCUAGAUUCUUCUAGGUCUUUAGCCUUAUCACAUACUAGCAGGAUAUAAUACCAUUUUAGAGCUGGAAUUAUUCAUUGUGUUGAUUUUCUUGACACAACAUCAGCAGAGUAUUAGCUUUUGUGCUUUAAUAAUAAAUUGUCAAAUUUUCAGUGAUAUCAAGGACUAUUUGGGAAGAAUUAUCUUAUUUCUAGGAGCCAAAAAAAGGCAAUACAGAAAAUGUACAGAGAGGGAUCACUCUACUAUGAAACUUGGUUCAGCUUAAUAAUGGAUUUAAUCUUUUAGUCAGGAAAUAUAUAAUUUA
Molecule: long non-coding RNA, 2674 nt
Filed under: Homo sapiens (human)
Lineage: Eukaryota; Metazoa; Chordata; Mammalia; Primates; Hominidae
Description: HSALNT0335278
Source: RNAcentral